RNAcentral lists this ribosomal RNA (718 nucleotides) under Escherichia coli. Its description in RNAcentral is "bacterial SSU rRNA". It matches the Rfam family "Bacterial small subunit ribosomal RNA", at positions 77 to 789 of the family's 1533-position model. Lineage: Bacteria; Pseudomonadati; Pseudomonadota; Gammaproteobacteria; Enterobacterales; Enterobacteriaceae. The record is from RNAcentral.
GUUGCUGCUUCGCUGACGAGUGGCGGACGGGUGAGUAAUGUCUGGGAAACUGCCUGAUGGAGGGGGAUAACUACUGGAAACGGUAGCUAAUACCGCAUAACGUCGCAAGACCAAAGAGGGGGACCUUCGGGCCUCUUGCCAUCGGAUGUGCCCAGAUGGGAUUAGCUAGUAGGUGGGGUAACGGCUCACCUAGGCGACGAUCCCUAGCUGGUCUGAGAGGAUGACCAGCCACACUGGAACUGAGACACGGUCCAGACUCCUACGGGAGGCAGCAGUGGGGAAUAUUGCACAAUGGGCGCAAGCCUGAUGCAGCCAUGCCGCGUGUAUGAAGAAGGCCUUCGGGUUGUAAAGUACUUUCAGCGGGGAGGAAGGGAGUAAAGUUAAUACCUUUGCUCAUUGACGUUACCCGCAGAAGAAGCACCGGCUAACUCCGUGCCAGCAGCCGCGGUAAUACGGAGGGUGCAAGCGUUAAUCGGAAUUACUGGGCGUAAAGCGCACGCAGGCGGUUUGUUAAGUCAGAUGUGAAAUCCCCGGGCUCAACCUGGGAACUGCAUCUGAUACUGGCAAGCUUGAGUCUCGUAGAGGGGGGUAGAAUUCCAGGUGUAGCGGUGAAAUGCGUAGAGAUCUGGAGGAAUACCGGUGGCGAAGGCGGCCCCCUGGACGAAGACUGACGCUCAGGUGCGAAAGCGUGGGGAGCAAACAGGAUUAGAUACCCCUG